Molecule: ribosomal RNA, 980 nt
Filed under: uncultured fungus
Lineage: Eukaryota; Fungi
Description: eukaryotic LSU rRNA
Rfam family: 5.8S ribosomal RNA (bases 243-396)
Source: RNAcentral
CUUGSUCWUUUAGAGGAAGUAAAAGUCGUAACAAGGUUUCCGUAGGUGAACCUGCGGAAGGAUCAUUCAUAAUCAAGUGUUUUUAUGGCACUUUCAAAAAUCCAUAUCCACCUUGUGUGCAAUGUCAUCUCUCUGGGGGCUGCCGGCUGUCAAAAGCCGUGUGGUCACCUUUGGGAUUUAUAUCUACUCAGAACUUUAGUGAUUUUGUCUGAAACAUAUUAUGAAUACUUAAUUCAAAAUACAACUUUCAACAACAGAUCUCUUGGCUCUCGCAUCGAUGAAGAACGCAGCGAAAUGCGAUACGUAAUGUGAAUUGCAGAAUUCAGUGAAUCAUCGAAUCUUUGAACGCAUAUUGCGCUCUCUGGUAUUCCGGAGAGCAUGCUUGUUUGAGUAUCAGUAAACACCUCAACUUCCAUAUCUUUUUUGAAAUGGGAGUUGGACUUGAGUGAUCCCAACGCUUUUCCUCACCGAAAAGUGGCGGGUUACUUGAAAUGCAGGUGCAGCUGGACUUUUCUCUGAGCUAUAAGCAUAUCUAUUUAGUCUGCCUAAAAAACAGAUUAUUACCUUUGCUGCAGCUAACAUAAAGGAGAUUAGUUCUUGUGCUGACUGAUGCAGGAUUUACAAAAAAAAGCGUCCGGCCGCCUUUUUUAACACGAUCUCAAAACAAAAAAGAAAACCACCCCGCACUUUUGAUAUUAUUAACGGGGGAGAAAACCAUAAUUUUUUGCCGCCCGCCGGUGCCGCCCUAGGGAGAGAACCACCACCCCGCUGGAUAACUGGUAGAUAUCUAUUGGGCCACACAACUAGCGGCGCAGGCGGGCCAGCUGUCCUGGUGGAAGAUUGUCGCUACACGCCCGCACCAUCACCCUAACAUAUACGGAGGAGUGCUAUCGUCAGAUCAACAAAAUACAGCCAGCAGCUAGCUGGAGACUAGGAACUACUAAUAUGCCUGCUCAUGCGUUCGAUUCGACUGCGUGCAU